UUGGCAAUUGUACACCAAUCACAAGCUGCAGGCUUCCUAAGAAAAGGCCCCUGCGCAGGCGAACAAUGUCUCGGCGCUGACAUCUCCGCUGAGAGAUCUGCCAGCGGAGGAUCAAAGACGAACGUUCACCACUUGUCAUAUGGAAGGCCUUAAAAUUGUAUUCCGGUUUGGUACUGCAUCAUAUCAACUACUUCAUUUGUUGCUUGCCAAACUCUCGUUGAAUCUUCUAUGUGCUGUGCUGCAGUCCAACAUAUCUCAUUGCUAUAAAGCUCCUAAACCCACUCAGUAAAAGAAGUUCGCCAUGUCUUGCUCCUUUAAUGCAAUAUUUAGCACAACUAUUCCAAAGAUGUGAACAUCAGAC
This 361-nucleotide long non-coding RNA is filed under the name Elaeis guineensis (African oil palm). RNAcentral describes it as "long non-coding RNA (EGUI_LNC037156)". The record is from RNAcentral. Lineage: Eukaryota; Viridiplantae; Streptophyta; Magnoliopsida; Arecales; Arecaceae.